GCCCAAGUGGCGGAAUUGGUAGACGCGCUACAUUCAGGGUGUAGUGAGCGCACGCUCGUGAAGGUUCGAGUCCUUUCUUGGGCA
RNAcentral lists this transfer RNA (84 nucleotides) under Bacteroidota bacterium. RNAcentral describes it as "Bacteroidetes bacterium tRNA-Leu". It matches the Rfam family "tRNA". From Rfam's summary of the family: Transfer RNA (tRNA) molecules are approximately 80 nucleotides in length. Their secondary structure includes four short double-helical elements and three loops (D, anti-codon, and T loops). Further hydrogen bonds mediate the characteristic L-shaped molecular structure. tRNAs have two regions of fundamental functional importance: the anti-codon, which is responsible for specific mRNA codon recognition, and the 3' end, to which the tRNAs corresponding amino acid is attached (by aminoacyl-tRNA synthetases). tRNAs cope with the degeneracy of the genetic code in two manners: having more than one tRNA (with a specific anti-codon) for a particular amino acid; and 'wobble' base-pairing, i.e. permitting non-standard base-pairing at the 3rd anti-codon position. The record is from RNAcentral. Lineage: Bacteria; Pseudomonadati; Bacteroidota. RNAcentral also lists the same sequence under 3 other names.